GGGAGGGUAGCUCAGUGUUAGAUCACAUGCUUAGCAUGCACAAGGUCCUGGGUUUGAUCCCCAGUUCCUCCA
RNAcentral lists this transfer RNA (72 nucleotides) under Camelus bactrianus (Bactrian camel). It matches the Rfam family "tRNA". From Rfam's summary of the family: Transfer RNA (tRNA) molecules are approximately 80 nucleotides in length. The record is from Rfam by way of RNAcentral. Lineage: Eukaryota; Metazoa; Chordata; Mammalia; Artiodactyla; Camelidae. RNAcentral also lists the same sequence under 2 other names.